RNAcentral lists this ribosomal RNA (253 nucleotides) under uncultured bacterium. RNAcentral describes it as "partial 16S ribosomal RNA". It matches the Rfam family "Bacterial small subunit ribosomal RNA", at positions 524 to 776 of the family's 1533-position model. The record is from RNAcentral.
UACGAAGGGGGCUAGCGUUGUUCGGAAUUACUGGGCGUAAAGCGCGCGCAGGCGGUUUCUCAAGUCAGUGGUGAAAGCCCGGAGCUCAACUCCAGAACUGCCUUUGAUACUGAAGAUCUUGAGUUCGGGAGAGGUGAGUGGAACUGCGAGUGUAGAGGUGAAAUUCGUAGAUAUUCGCAAGAACACCAGUGGCGAAGGCGGCUCACUGGCCCGAUACUGACGCUGAUGCACGAAAGCGUGGGGAGCAAACAGG